GACGAACGCUGGCGGCGUGCUUAACACAUGCAAGUCGAACGGAAAGGCCCUGCUCUUGUGGGGUGCUCGAGUGGCGAACGGGUGAGUAACACGUGAGUAACCUGCCCUUGACUUUGGGAUAACUUCAGGAAACCGGGGCUAAUACCGGAUAGGAGCUCCUGCUGCAUGGUGGGGGUUGGAACGUUUCGGCGGUUGGGGAUGGACUCGCGGCUUAUCAGCUUGUUGGUGGGGUAGUGGCUUACCAAGGCUUUGACGGGUAGCCGGCCUGAGAGGGUGACCGGCCACAUUGGGACUGAGAGACGGCCCAGACUCCUACGGGAGGCAGCAGUGGGGAAUAUUGCACAAUGGGCGGAAGCCUGAUGCAGCAACGCCGCGUGCGGGAUGACGGCCUUCGGGUUGUAAACCGCGUUCGCCUGUGACGAAGCGUGAGUGACGGUAAUGGGUAAAGAAGCACCGGCUAACUACGUG
This 468-nucleotide ribosomal RNA is filed under the name uncultured bacterium. RNAcentral's name for it is "partial 16S ribosomal RNA". It matches the Rfam family "Bacterial small subunit ribosomal RNA", at positions 28 to 507 of the family's 1533-position model. The record is from RNAcentral.